RNAcentral lists this ribosomal RNA (987 nucleotides) under uncultured bacterium. RNAcentral's name for it is "bacterial SSU rRNA". It matches the Rfam family "Bacterial small subunit ribosomal RNA", at positions 510 to 1502 of the family's 1533-position model. The record is from RNAcentral.
AGCAGCCGCGGUAAUACGGAGGAUGCAAGUGUUAUUCGGAAUGAUUGGGCGUAAAGCGUCUGUAGGCUGUAUAGAAAGUCUUUUGUUAAAUGCCUCGGCUCAACCGAGAUCCAGCAAAGGAAACUUCUAUACUUGAGGGAAGUAGAGGUACAGGGAAUUCCCGGUGGAGCGGUGAAAUGCGUAGAUAUCGGGAGGAACACCAAUAUGGCGAAGGCGCUGUACUGGGCUUUACCUGACGCUCAGAGACGAAAGCUAAAGGAGUGAUUAGGAUUAGAUACCCUAGUAAUUUUAGCCGUAAACGAUGGAAACUCACUGCCGAGCGAAAUACAACGAGCGGUGGUCAAGCUAACGCGUGAAGUUUCCCGCCUGGGGAUUACGCUUGCAAAAGUGAAACUCAAAGGAAUUGACGGGGACCCGCACAAGCGGUGGAGUAUGUGGUUUAAUUCGAUGCAACACGAAGAACCUUACCAGGGUUUGAAAUCAUUUCAAAACUCCUUGAAAGAGGAGCCUCCUUCGGGAUGAAAUGACAGGUGGUGCAUGGCUGUCGUCAGCUCGUGUUGUGAAAUGUCGAGUUAAGUCUCGUAACGAGCGCAACCCAUGUCUCUUGUUGCUCACUGAGUGCUUAAGAGAGACUGCCGACCAACAUCGGAGGAAGGUGUGGAUGAUGUCAAGUCAGCAUGCCCCUUACAUCCUGGGCUACACACGUACUACAAUGGUAGGGACAAUGAGCUGCGAUCCUGCGAAGGCUAGCCAAUCUCAAAAACCCUAUCUCAGUUCGGAUUGUACUCUGCAACUCGAGUACAUGAAGGUGGAAUCGCUAGUAAUCGCUGGUCAGCUAUACAGCGGUGAAUACGUUCCCGGGUCUUGUACACACUGCCCGUCACACCAUGGAAGCCGACUCUUCCCUAAGUCGUUACUCGAACCCAUUGGGACGAGGAUGCCGAAGGCAGGGUUGGUGACUGGGGUGAAGUCGUAACAAGGUAGCCG